AGCGGUAGCACAGAGAGCUUGCUCUCGGGUGACGAGCGGCGGACGGGUGAGUAAUGUCUGGGAAACUGCCUGAUGGAGGGGGAUAACUACUGGAAACGGUAGCUAAUACCGCAUAAUGUCGCAAGACCAAAGUGGGGGACCUUCGGGCCUCAUGCCAUCAGAUGUGCCCAGAUGGGAUUAGCUAGUAGGUGGGGUAACGGCUCACCUAGGCGACGAUCCCUAGCUGGUCUGAGAGGAUGACCAGCCACACUGGAACUGAGACACGGUCCAGACUCCUACGGGAGGCAGCAGUGGGGAAUAUUGCACAAUGGGCGCAAGCCUGAUGCAGCCAUGCCGCGUGUGUGAAGAAGGCCUUCGGGUUGUAAAGCACUUUCAGCGGGGAGGAAGGCGAUAAGGUUAAUAACCUUGUCGAUUGACGUUACCCGCAGAAGAAGCACCGGCUAACUCCGUGCCAGCAGCCGCGGUAAUACGGAGGGUGCAAGCGUUAAUCGGAAUUACUGGGCGUAAAGCGCACGCAGGCGGUCUGUCAAGUCGGAUGUGAAAUCCCCGGGCUCAACCUGGGAACUGCAUUCGAAACUGGCAGGCUAGAGUCUUGUAGAGGGGGGUAGAAUUCCAGGUGUAGCGGUGAAAUGCGUAGAGAUCUGGAGGAAUACCGGUGGCGAAGGCGGCCCCCUGGACAAAGACUGACGCUCAGGUGCGAAAGCGUGGGGAGCAAACAGGAUUAGAUACCCUGGUAGUCCACGCCGUAAACGAUGUCGAUUUGGAGGUUGUGCCCUUGAGGCGUGGCUUCCGGAGCUAACGCGUUAAAUCGACCGCCUGGGGAGUACGGCCGCAAGGUUAAAACUCAAAUGAAUUGACGGGGGCCCGCACAAGCGGUGGAGCAUGUGGUUUAAUUCGAUGCAACGCGAAGAACCUUACCUGGUCUUGACAUCCACAGAACUUUCCAGAGAUGGAUUGGUGCCUUCGGGAACUGUGAGACAGGUGCUGCAUGGCUGUCGUCAGCUCGUGUUGUGAAAUGUUGGGUUAAGUCCCGCAACGAGCGCAACCCUUAUCCUUUGUUGCCAGCGGUUCGGCCGGGAACUCAAAGGAGACUGCCAGUGAUAAACUGGAGGAAGGUGGGGAUGACGUCAAGUCAUCAUGGCCCUUACGACCAGGGCUACACACGUGCUACAAUGGCAUAUACAAAGAGAAGCGACCUCGCGAGAGCAAGCGGACCUCAUAAAGUAUGUCGUAGUCCGGAUUGGAGUCUGCAACUCGACUCCAUGAAGUCGGAAUCGCUAGUAAUCGUAGAUCAGAAUGCUACGGUGAAUACGUUCCCGGGCCUUGUACACACCGCCCGUCACACCAUGGGAGUGGGUUGCAAAAGAAGUAGGUAGCUUAACCUUCG
RNAcentral lists this ribosomal RNA (1387 nucleotides) under Klebsiella quasipneumoniae. RNAcentral's name for it is "bacterial SSU rRNA". It matches the Rfam family "Bacterial small subunit ribosomal RNA". Lineage: Bacteria; Pseudomonadati; Pseudomonadota; Gammaproteobacteria; Enterobacterales; Enterobacteriaceae. The record is from RNAcentral.